RNAcentral lists this transfer RNA (65 nucleotides) under Achatinella mustelina. RNAcentral describes it as "tRNA-Leu". The record is from RNAcentral. Lineage: Eukaryota; Metazoa; Mollusca; Gastropoda; Stylommatophora; Achatinellidae.
UUUAGUUUAGCAAAAAAAUGCAAGUGAUUUAGAGUCAAAAGAUAACUUUUAAAAAGUAAUUAAAA